This 468-nucleotide ribosomal RNA is filed under the name uncultured bacterium. Its description in RNAcentral is "partial 16S ribosomal RNA". It matches the Rfam family "Bacterial small subunit ribosomal RNA", at positions 28 to 507 of the family's 1533-position model. The record is from RNAcentral.
GACGAACGCUGGCGGCGUGCUUAACACAUGCAAGUCGAACGGAAAGGCCCUGCUUUUGUGGGGUGCUCGAGUGGCGAACGGGUGAGUAACACGUGAGUAACCUGCCCUUGACUUUGGGAUAACUUCAGGAAACUGGGGCUAAUACCGGAUAGGAGCUCCUGCUGCAUGGUGGGGGUUGGAAAGUUUCGGCGGUUGGGGAUGGACUCGCGGCUUAUCAGCUUGUUGGUGGGGUAGUGGCUUACCAAGGCUUUGACGGGUAGCCGGCCUGAGAGGGUGACCGGCCACAUUGGGACUGAGAUACGGCCCAGACUCCUACGGGAGGCAGCAGUGGGGAAUAUUGCACAAUGGGCGGAAGCCUUAUGCAGCAACGCCGCGUGCGGGAUGACGGCCUUCGGGUUGUAAACCGCUUUCGCCUUUGACGAAGCGUGAGUGACGGUAAUGGGUAAAGAAGCACCGGCUAACUACGUG